This is a long non-coding RNA of Ictalurus punctatus (channel catfish), 1080 nucleotides long. NCBI's taxonomy places the organism in Eukaryota, Metazoa, Chordata, Actinopteri, Siluriformes, Ictaluridae. The record is from Ensembl.
CCUUGCAUGGCAGUUGUUGGUGUUGGUGUGAGUGUGUGUGAAUGAGACGCAGUGUAAAGCGCUUUGGAUAAAAGCGCUAUAUAAGUGCGCCAUUUACCGUUUACUAGUGCUAUUCGUGUUAAUUUGACCGUCAUAACUUUUAGAGAUAAAACACAGAAGCGCACAGGAUUUAAAGUGUGGGCUAAAUGUAAGCUGAACUUUUUUUGUCUUUACGCUGAGUGUGAUUCAAGACACAUUUGGAGAUUUGUUCAAAAAUUUCUUGCUAAUUUUCUCAGCGAUGUGACCUAAUUUCUCUGAGAUAUACCAUGAGUGUUUUCCCAUAUGUGUAACUUUUUUCACAUAAACUGAUUUUUUUAAACGAUCAGUUUAGGAGUGUGCAAUUUGGUAACCUUCAUAGGCUUCAUGUUCUGACGAAAAAUUCAGACAUUUGAGUUAAUUGCCACUAGGUGGCACCAUUAUGAAAUGUAAAACUCAUUUCAGAGUGGACGUUGCAUGCUGGGUGCGGUGGCGCGCGCCUGUAAUCCACGUCACUGGGAGGCUGAGGCUGGUGGAGCUCUUGAGCUCGGGGGUUCUACACUACCGUGGGCUUUGUUGAUCGGGUGUCCGCACUAAGAUCGGUGUCGAUAUGGUGUUCCUAAGGGAGCUCGGGAAUACCAGGUCGUCUAAGGAGGGGUGGACCGGCCCAGGUCGGGAACGGAGCAGGUAAAAGCCCCCGUACCGAUUAGUAGUGGGAUAGCACCUGUGAAUAGACGCGGUAGUGCAGCCUGGGUGAUACGGUGUGACCCAGUCUUUUAUAUUAUACACCUAUUGUGUUUAAUAUCCACUGCUUCUACGUCCUCAGAAGCAGCUGGAGAAGGACAGAUCAAGUUCGAAUCACAGUAAAAUGGUUAAAGUUAGACUACUAUUUAUAAUUCUUUCUCACAGUAAGCAAUGAAGUUAUUUUAAAAAACAUUAAUGCAUUAAUCUCUAAUAUUAUAUGGACACAGUGUACACUGUAAAACAUCUCUACAAAUCAGUAAUGCUCCCAGUCUACCUUAUUCCCCUGAUUCUUAAGUUGUUUCAUAAACACACCAUUUUAUG